GUGAUUUUGACACCAUUUAUGCUUUGUUUCCAUACAACAAACUCUUCUGUAAUCAAACUAAAAACCAAACCAUUCUCAAACAGCAGUUACAUAAUCACCACUGACAUCAACUUCAGAAUCUAUAUCGGCAUCCAGAUCAUCGAGCCCCGAUCCUCCAGCCAACGCUUGGUCCCCGACUUUAGAUGCUUCUCCUGGUGUCAUUGCUUCCUGAACAAUCUGCAUGAUUUCCUCCACGCUUUGCAAUGGUUGGUUGUGUUCUUGUUGUUUGAAGUCAGUUUUCUCAAUCUCAAUGAGCUCCUUUGGCAAGUUCUUGAAAAACCAUGGCAGCUGUUUUAUCUCUUGGAUGGUGAUCCUCUUUGCGGGGUUGGCAACGAAUAUGCGAGAAAGAAGGUUGCGACACUCUAUGGACACACGUACAUAAUCGGGUAUUGAGUAUUGAACACUCAAUAUUCUUGCUAUCGUCUUACGGAAAUUUCUCGGAUCUUCGGGAUCCUCGAACGGGUAUGCUCCAACCAACAUUACAUACAAUGUCACUCCACAUGACCAAACAUCUGAAAUCUUG
RNAcentral lists this unclassified non-coding RNA (562 nucleotides) under Hevea brasiliensis (rubber tree). Lineage: Eukaryota; Viridiplantae; Streptophyta; Magnoliopsida; Malpighiales; Euphorbiaceae. The record is from RNAcentral.